GAGGGCAAGUCUGGUGCCAGCAGCCGCGGUAAUUCCAGCUCCAAUAGCGUAUAUUAAAGUUGUUGCAGUUAAAAAGCUCGUAGUUGAAUUUCGGGAUUCAUCCGUCGGUCGGGCUUAACUGUCCGUACUGGUGUGAUGGGUUCCUACCUUCUGAAUAACCGGCAUGCCAUUAAUUUGGUGCGCCGGGGAAGCAGGACUGUUACCUUGAAAAAAUUAGAGUGCUUAAAGCAGGCUAUCGCCUGAAUACAUUAGCAUGGAAUAAUGAAAUAGGACGGCAUGGUUCUAUUUUGUUGGUUUCUAGGAUCACCGUAAUGAUUAAUAGGGAUAGUUGGGGGCAUUAGUAUUCAAUUGUCAGAGGUGAAAUUCUUGGAUUUAUUGAAGACUAACUUCUGCGAAAGCAUUUGCCAAGGAUGUUUUCAUUAAUCAAGAACGAAAGUUAGGGGAUCGAAGACGAUCAGAUACCGUCGUAGUCUUAACCAUAAACUAUG
RNAcentral lists this ribosomal RNA (488 nucleotides) under uncultured Acaulospora. RNAcentral describes it as "SSU rRNA". It matches the Rfam family "Eukaryotic small subunit ribosomal RNA", at positions 551 to 1041 of the family's 1831-position model. Lineage: Eukaryota; Fungi; Glomeromycota; Glomeromycetes; Diversisporales; Acaulosporaceae. The record is from RNAcentral.